This 522-nucleotide ribosomal RNA is filed under the name Salmonella enterica subsp. enterica serovar Montevideo. Its description in RNAcentral is "partial 23S ribosomal RNA". It matches the Rfam family "Bacterial large subunit ribosomal RNA", at positions 978 to 1503 of the family's 2925-position model. Lineage: Bacteria; Pseudomonadati; Pseudomonadota; Gammaproteobacteria; Enterobacterales; Enterobacteriaceae. The record is from RNAcentral.
CGGGAGACACACGGCGGGUGCUAACGUCCGUCGUGAAGAGGGAAACAACCCAGACCGCCAGCUAAGGUCCCAAAGUCAUGGUUAAGUGGGAAACGAUGUGGGAAGGCCCAGACAGCCAGGAUGUUGGCUUAGAAGCAGCCAUCAUUUAAAGAAAGCGUAAUAGCUCACUGGUCGAGUCGGCCUGCGCGGAAGAUGUAACGGGGCUAAACCAUGCACCGAAGCUGCGGCAGCGACGCUGAUGCGUUGUUGGGUAGGGGAGCGUUCUGUAAGCCUGCGAAGGUGGCCUGUGAGGGUUGCUGGAGGUAUCAGAAGUGCGAAUGCUGACAUAAGUAACGAUAAAGCGGGUGAAAAGCCCGCUCGCCGGAAGACCAAGGGUUCCUGUCCAACGUUAAUCGGGGCAGGGUGAGUCGACCCCUAAGGCGAGGCCGAAAGGCGUAGUCGAUGGGAAACGGGUUAAUAUUCCCGUACUUGGUGUUACUGCGAAGGGGGGACGGAGAAGGCUAUGUUGGCCGGGCGACGGUU